Molecule: long non-coding RNA, 1258 nt
Filed under: Equus asinus (donkey)
Lineage: Eukaryota; Metazoa; Chordata; Mammalia; Perissodactyla; Equidae
Description: lncRNA (ENSEASG00005025276.1)
Source: RNAcentral
CCUGAAGCUGUAGCGCUCCUGACUUUCCAGCGACACAAAACAAUACGUUCUGCUUUGGCAUAAGCUAAUUCCAGCGGGAUUCUGUUAUUUGCAGUUGGAUGAGCUCUGCCUGAAGGACGAGGCUUUAAACAACCAGGGCCUGUUGAUUCUCCAGGGGCCCACGGCAAACACAGCCCUUCAGAACACAAAAACACAGCUGCUCUUUGAAAGAGGCGGAGAGAGGGGAAAAUACUUUGCAUUCUCUUGCGAUGAAUCAGGAGCCAAAAUAAGACCUGGUUCAUUUCUCAAGCGGGUUAUCCUGCCCAACCGCUAUUACUCAUCCCAGCCCCGACCAGCCCGAGGUUGGCGUGGCCCUGGCCCAGGGAGCCUGCCGUGCUCAGAGCCUCCCCAGAUUUUCCACGCUCGUGUGAAAAGCGUGUGCGUCGUGGCUCCUUCUCCUCCGGCUCAUCCUCCUGGGAGCUGGGCUGUCUGGAGCUCCAGGGUCCAGCCAAGUCAACCCCUAACAAAACGCAGGGAUGCACAGGGAGCCUCUGGAAACCUCGCCCCUGCAGAGAGGUCCAGAGAAGCUGGCCUGGCCGCUUCUUACUGAGCAGCGGGCUAGCACAGGACCUCAGCAUCAAGGAGGGGUCAGCCGGGGAUAGAUGAGGAAAGGCUUCAAAGGUUGGGCCGAGGAGAGUGGGGAGCGGCCAGGGAGGACACAAGGCCCCCCAAGUCCCAGCUCCAGACUGACAGCUCAUGGACUCCGGGCCCCCCAGCCUCUCGCAGUCCCACCUGCUCGCCGGGGCCUCGGGCCCACGUCCCGGUGCACGAAGUCCUUGGCCGGACCCAGCCCGGGGGAGGAAUGCAGAGCCAGACCAGGGCUGCUGGCCGGACUCCAGGCCCAGGGAGACGCCCCCCGGGCCCUGCUAUCAGUCCUGCAGACGCCACCAGACCUCCUCCCGGAGGACAGACUCCAGCCUUCACGUGGUGACCCCGCUGUGCCCUCAGCCCCGCAGGGUUGGAGUGUCCCAUGCGCCUGGCCGCCCCCAAAAGGCCGAAUGCCUAGAAUGCCACAGGAUUCCCACGGUGGCCCUUCUCCCGGCCCCAGGGAAGGAGCAAAGGCUGGCUCUGGGGUGGGGGUGGGAGGGCCCAGGGUACCAAGAAGAAAAGAAUGGAAAACAUCUCAUUGAUUACAUGUCGAAAUGUCAGUAUUUUGGAUUACAUAAAAUAUAUUGUUAAAAUUAAUUUCUCCCGCUUCUUUUCAUUUUUUUUAAUGCAG